Molecule: ribosomal RNA, 254 nt
Filed under: Platocoelotes luoi
Lineage: Eukaryota; Metazoa; Arthropoda; Arachnida; Araneae; Agelenidae
Description: partial 12S ribosomal RNA
Source: RNAcentral
AUCGAUAAUCCACGUUAANUUUCACUUUAAUUCUAAACUUAUAUACCACCAUCUAAAGAAUUAAUUUCAUAAUAUUUCUCUAAAAAAUAACUAAAAAGUUAGGUCAAGGUGUAAUUUAUAUUAAAGAAUAGAUGAAUUACAUUAAAUAUAAUUUUAAGAUUAUAUAUAAAUAUAAUUAUAUGAAUAUGAAUUUAAAAGUAAUACUUAAAUAAUAUUAAAGUAUGAUUCAGACAACAAAUGUGCACACAUCGCCC